GACUUUUAGGUAGUGGUGAAAAGCCUAACGAGCCUGGUGAUAGCUGGUUGUCCAGAACAGAAUUUUAGUUCGACUUUAAAUCAUGCCUAAAAGACUUUUAACUUAAAUGCAGAUUUAAAUUAUAAUCUAAAAGGGUACAGCCUUUUAGAAAAAGGAUACAACCUUAAAUAGAGAGUAAGUACAUAAGAUUUACAUAGUUGGCCUAAAAGCAGCCACCAAUUAAGAAAGCGUUAAAGCUCAAAACUAUAUCCAUCUUAAUCCUAACAAUAAAUUACGAACCCCUAACCUAAUACUGGACUAUUCUAUUGUCUAAUAGAAGAAAUACUGUUAAUAUGAGUAACAAGAAUUACUAUUCUCCACGCACAAGCUUAUAUCAGAACGGAUAACCCACUGAUAGUUAGCAGUAAGAUAAGUUCACACCACAAAUUAAGCAACUAUCAAACUAACUGUUAACCCAACACAGGAGUGCUAUAAGGAAAGAUUAAAAGAAGUAAAAGGAACUCGGCAAACACAAACCCCGCCUGUUUACCAAAAACAUCACCUCCAGCAUAACAACUAUUGGAGGCACUGCCUGCCCAGUGACAUAUCUGUUAAACGGCCGCGGUAUCCUGACCGUGCAAAGGUAGCAUAAUCAUUUGUUCUCUAAAUAAGGACUUGUAUGAAUGGCCACACGAGGGUUUUACUGUCUCUUACUUCCAAUCAGUGAAAUUGACCUUCCCGUGAAGAGGCGGGAAUAUCCAAAUUAGACGAGAAGACCCUAUGGAGCUUCAAUUAAUCAACCCAUAAAUAAACCAAUAAAAAUCCAAGGACUUACAAAAAAUCUUUUAAUGAGUUGACAAUUUAGGUUGGGGUGACCUCGGAAUAUAACUAAACUUCCGAGUGAUUAAAAUCUAGACCAACAAGUCAAAACCUUCCAUCACUUAUUGAUCCAAAAGAUUGAUCAACGGAACAAGUUACCCUAGGGAUAACAGCGCAAUCCUAUUUGAGAGUCCAUAUCGACAAUAGGGUUUACGACCUCGAUGUUGGAUCAGGACAUCCUAAUGGUGCAGCAGCUAUUAAGGGUUCGUUUGUUCAACGAUUAAAGUCCUUCGUGAUCUGAGUNUCAGACCGGAGUAAUCCAGGUCGGUUUCUAUCUAUUUUGCGUUCCUCCCAGUACGAAAGGACAAGAGAAACAGGGCCAACCUUACAGAAGCGCC
This 1196-nucleotide ribosomal RNA is filed under the name Dyacopterus spadiceus (Dyak fruit bat). Its description in RNAcentral is "partial 16S ribosomal RNA". It matches the Rfam family "Bacterial large subunit ribosomal RNA", at positions 806 to 2724 of the family's 2925-position model. Lineage: Eukaryota; Metazoa; Chordata; Mammalia; Chiroptera; Pteropodidae. The record is from RNAcentral.